Molecule: transfer RNA, 73 nt
Filed under: Candidatus Aenigmatarchaeota archaeon
Lineage: Archaea; Nanobdellati; Candidatus Aenigmatarchaeota
Description: tRNA-His
Rfam family: tRNA
About the family: Transfer RNA (tRNA) molecules are approximately 80 nucleotides in length. Their secondary structure includes four short double-helical elements and three loops (D, anti-codon, and T loops).
Source: RNAcentral
GCCAAUGUAGCGUAACUUGGUAGCGCGCAGGACUGUGGAUCCUGAAGACCGGGUUCAAAUCCCGGCCUUGGCC